UUCGGCUUAACCGGAGAAGUGCAUCGGAAACUGGAUAACUUGAGUGCAGAAGAGGGUAGUGGAACUCCAUGUGUAGCGGUGGAAUGCGUAGAUAUAUGGAAGAACACCAGUGGCGAAGGCGGCUACCUGGUCUGCAACUGACGCUGAGACUCGAAAGCAUGGGUAGCGAACAGGAUUAGAUACCCUGGUAGUCCAUGCCGUAAACGAUGAGUGCUAGGUGUUGGAGGGUUUCCGCCCUUCAGUGCCGGAGCUAACGCAUUAAGCACUCCGCCUGGGGAGUACGACCGCAAGGUUGAAACUCAAAGGAAUUGACGGGGGCCCGCACAAGCGGUGGAGCAUGUGGUUUAAUUCGAAGCUACGCGAAGAACCUUACCAGGUCUUGACAUCUUGCGCCAACCCUAGAGAUAGGGCGUUUCCUUCGGGAACGCAAUGACAGGUGGUGCAUGGUCGUCGUCAGCUCGUGUCGUGAGAUGUUGGGUUAAGUCCCGCAACGAGCGCAACCCUUGUUACUAGUUGCCAGCAUUAAGUUGGGCACUCUAGUGAGACUGCCGGUGACAAACCGGAGGAAGGUGGGGACGACGUCAGAUCAUCAUGCCCCUUAUGACCUGGGCUACACACGUGCUACAAUGGACGGUACAACGAGUCGCGAACUCGCGAGGGCAAGCAAAUCUCUUAAAACCGUUCUCAGUUCGGACUGCAGGCUGCAACUCGCCUGCACGAAGUCGGAAUCGCUAGUAAUCGCGGAUCAGCAUGCCGCGGUGAAUACGUUCCCGGGCCUUGUACACACCGCCCGUCACACCAUGAGAGUUUGUAACACCCAAAGUCGGUGGGGUAACCUUUUAGGAGCCAGCCGCCUAAGGUGGGACAGAUGAUUAGGGUGAAGUCG
Molecule: ribosomal RNA, 886 nt
Filed under: Limosilactobacillus fermentum
Lineage: Bacteria; Bacillati; Bacillota; Bacilli; Lactobacillales; Lactobacillaceae
Description: bacterial SSU rRNA
Rfam family: Bacterial small subunit ribosomal RNA
Source: RNAcentral